This 873-nucleotide unclassified non-coding RNA is filed under the name Hevea brasiliensis (rubber tree). Lineage: Eukaryota; Viridiplantae; Streptophyta; Magnoliopsida; Malpighiales; Euphorbiaceae. The record is from RNAcentral.
UAUAUAUAAAUUGCAGUAAUUAAUUUGAUUAUAAAAUCUCCAAACAGGUUAAGUAAUAAUUGAAGCAACAAAAUUCUGGCCACCAAACCAACUGAAUAAUGAACUCAAUAUUUCAAAAGCAAGGAGAAAAGGUUAUGAUGUUUAUUUAUCCUCUCCUUUGCAACUAAAAUCAAGUCUUUACCCUCCCAUAGAACUUUGCCUUCUCCUGGGUUGUCUGGAAUCUACCAUGGCCAAACUUGGAGGAUGUAUCAAUAAACUUGAGCUUGAUCUCCUCCAAAGCAACCCGAGAUGUCUGAUUCAAUAAUGAUUGUCUCAGGGUCACAACACGCUUCUUUGGUCCUACGCAGCAUCCUUUUAUCAUCACAUAAUCUUCCUUCACCACACCAUAGUGGGGGAAUCCUCCCAUUGGUGUGAUAUCCUUUUCAGUCCUGUCAUAUUCCGUAAUUGCAGUAUGAGACUCCUGGCCAGACUUCCCAAGCUUAUAGAUUUUCUUAUUCAUCUCAGUACGGUGAUGGUAACCGUUCUGCCCAGCCCUAGCAACAGUAAAUGACACCCUAGCAGGAUGCCAAGCACCAAUACAUGCCACUUUCCGCAGACCACGGUGGGUCUUGCGGGGGAGACGGGUGACACCCCAACGAGUAACCACACCUUCAUAGCCCUUCCCCUUGGUCACACCAAUUACGUCAAUCAUCUCGUCUUUUUGAAAAACCGCAUCAAUAGGUAUCUGCUUCUCAAAGAANNNNNNAACCUUCUUGGCAACAUCACCACCAUUUACCUGAAUCUCCAUCAAAUGAGCUUUCUUCUGCUUCAAACCUUUCAUCUUCCUGAUCUGGGUGUGUGCCAAGACACGAAUGACAGAACAAUGCUUCUUCA